CUGUGAGGUAGAGGUUGCGAUAUUUAACAGUCUUUAGUGGAGUUUGAGAAACGUGGAAACUAUUGAGAAGGAAAUGUCGCCGAAGCAGAUGGCAGGCUCGAUGCUGUCUGCUGGGCCUGCAGUUAAGAGCUGCAGGACUGUCUCAAUGGAGAUCCGGUCUGUUGAGUUGUGCUAUCUCGGUU
RNAcentral lists this non-coding RNA (182 nucleotides) under Anaerobium acetethylicum. RNAcentral's name for it is "Lysine sequence". It matches the Rfam family "Lysine riboswitch aptamer". From Rfam's summary of the family: Riboswitches are metabolite binding domains within certain messenger RNAs that serve as precision sensors for their corresponding targets. The record is from Rfam by way of RNAcentral. Lineage: Bacteria; Bacillati; Bacillota; Clostridia; Lachnospirales; Lachnospiraceae.